GACGUAGGGCGCGAGCGUUGUCCGGAUUUAUUGGGCGUAAAGCGUGCGCAGGCGGUGAUGCAAGACAGAUGUGAAAUCCCCGGGCUUAACCUGGGAACUGCAUUUGUGACUGCAUUGCUGGAGUGCGGCAGAGGGGGAUGGAAUUCCGCGUGUAGCAGUGAAAUGCGUAGAUAUGCGGAGGAACACCGAUGGCGAAGGCAAUCCCCUGGGCCUGCACUGACGCUCAUGCACGAAAGCGUGGGGAGCAAACAGG
Molecule: ribosomal RNA, 253 nt
Filed under: uncultured bacterium
Lineage: Bacteria
Description: partial 16S ribosomal RNA
Rfam family: Bacterial small subunit ribosomal RNA
Source: RNAcentral